UACGAAGGGGGCUAGCGUUGCUCGGAAUUACUGGGCCUAAAGCGCACGUAGGCGGCUUUCUAAGUCGGGGGUGAAAUCCUGGAGCUCAACUCCAGAACUGCCUUCGAUACUGGAAAGCUCGAGUCCGGGAGAGGUGAGUGGAACUGCGAGUGUAGAGGUGAAAUUCGUAGAUAUUCGCAAGAACACCAGUGGCGAAGGCGGCUCACUGGCCCGGUACUGACGCUGAGGUGCGAAAGCGUGGGGAGCAAACAGG
This 253-nucleotide ribosomal RNA is filed under the name uncultured bacterium. Its description in RNAcentral is "partial 16S ribosomal RNA". It matches the Rfam family "Bacterial small subunit ribosomal RNA", at positions 524 to 776 of the family's 1533-position model. The record is from RNAcentral.